Molecule: ribosomal RNA, 1620 nt
Filed under: metagenome
Description: bacterial LSU rRNA
Rfam family: Bacterial large subunit ribosomal RNA
Source: RNAcentral
ACUGCAUGGAAGAGAGAAUGCCGGAAUGAGUAGCGAGAUAGAGGUGGGAAUCCUCUAGGCCGAAUAUCCAAGGUUUCCAGAGUAAAGCUGAUCUGCUCUGGGUAAGUCGGGGCCUAAGGCGAGGACGAGAGUCGUAGCCGAUGGACAACAGGUGGAGAUUCCUGUACUGCGGUAUGACAGAACUGUGGGGACACGUAAGGAAAGCGGAAGCCGGGAAUGGAAAGCCCGGUGCAAGCGGGGUACCAGCCACUUCGCAAAUCCGGGUGGCAAUGGGAAGCCGUGAUGCGGAGCGAAAUAAAGUAGCGAAGUCCGUGAGCCAUGCGUCAAGAAAAGCCGCUAUUGUUUAUACCGUACCCGUACCGUAGACCGACACAGGUGGAUGAGGAGAGAAUCCUAAGGCCGGCGGAAGAAGCAUUGUCAAGGAACUCGGCAAAAUGGCCCCGUAACUUAGGGAUAAGGGGUGCCUCAGAAAUGAGGCCGCAGAGAAUAGGCUCAAGCAACUGUUUAGCAAAAACACAGGUCUAUGCGAAACCGAAAGGUGAGGUAUAUGGGCUGACGCCUGCCCGGUGCUGGAAGGUUAAGAGGAGAGGUUAGCGCAAGCGAAGCUUUGAAUUUAAGCCCCAGUAAACGGCGGCCGUAACGAUAACGGUCCUAAGGUAGCGAAAUUCCUUGUCGGGUAAGUUCCGACCCGCACGAAAGGCGUAAUGAUUUGAGCGCUGUCUCGACAAUGCAUCCGGUGAAAUUGAAGUACCAGUGAAGAUGCUGGUUACCUGCGCCAGGACGGAAAGACCCCAUGGAGCUUUACUCCAGUUUGGUACUGGGACUCGGUAUUGCAUGUACAGGAUAGGUGGGAGGCUAGGAGAUAGUAACGCCAGUUAUUAUGGAGCCGCUGUUGGGAUACCACCCUUGCAGUAUUGGGUUUCUAACCAGCCGCCGUGACCCGGCGGUGGGACAAUGCCAGACGGGGAGUUUGACUGGGGCGGUCGCCUCCGAAAGGGUAUCGGAGGCGCCCAAAGGUUCCCUCAGAAUGGACGGAAACCAUUCGAAGAGUGCAAAGGCAGAAGGGAGCUUGACUGCGACACCGACGGGUGGAGCAGGUACGAAAGUAGGGCUUAGUGAUCCGGUGGUAUUAAGUGGGAAUGCCAUCGCUCAACGGAUAAAAGCUACCCUGGAUAACAGGCUUAUCACUCCCAAGAGUUCACAUCGACGGAGUGGUUUGGCACCUCGAUGUCGGCUCAUCGCAUCCUGGGGCUGUAGUAGGUCCCAAGGGUUGGGCUGUUCGCCCAUUAAAGCGGUACGCGAGCUGGGUUCAGAACGUCGUGAGACAGUUCGGUCCCUAUCCGGCGUGGGCGUAGGAUAUCUGAGAGGAGCUGUCCUUAGUACGAGAGGACCGGGAUGGACGGGCCGCUGGUGCAUCGGUUAGACUGCCAAGUCUACGGCCGAGUAGCCAAGCCCGGAAGGGAUAAACGCUGAAGGCAUCUAAGCGUGAAGCCCCCCUUAAGAUGAGAUAUCCCAUUCGAAAGAAGUAAACCCCCUUGAAGACGACGAGGUAGAUAGGGCAGAGGUGGAAGUGCAGUAAUGCAUGGAGCUGACUGUUACUAAUCGGGUGAGGGCUUGACC